UACUAUGAUCCACGCUGUGGCCAGGGUUACAUUGCCUACAGAUUGAAAACUGUUCAGCGCAACUCUGUAAAGAUCUUGAAGGGGGCAUCCAAGGUGGUUUACCAAGAUUGUCCAAAGACUUUACGCAAGACAUCUUCAGCAACUGAGCAGCUGUCAGGUGACGAAUGCACAGAAGCUAUAUCCAUGAUGAAGCAUUCAACAGACGCACCAGUUAUUAAGGAUAAAAUGAGGACAACAUUCAAGUACAGACAGAAUUUGAUACAUGAUCCAGACAAAUCUUCACUCAUCCUUGAUUACUUUCCCCGAUUUUUGGAUACACCAGGCUUGGUAAGAAAUAUUAAAAUGUUGAUGUUAAUUGUAAAUGUAAUUUUAAUGUUCGUUAUUUACAUGAUUUAUUUGUGUGAUAGAUUGACCAAGACUUUCCUGUGCUUUUUGGAGAUGACUUCAAGCAAAUUUAUUGCAAAAUGGCCAAUAUUCUACAAGCAAAGAAUAAUUGCUGACUGCAAUAACCUGCACCCUGGUGCCAUGGGCGUAGGCACAAUAAUCCCCCCACCCCCGGAAUUAUUUUGUUGUGGGGACGAGUAUCAUUCAGAAGUUUUACAUCAUCCUGGACCAGAAGGCCAUUCCCUGCAUGACUCAGACAGCUGUUGCAGCCUUUGAUGAACUCUUCAAGGCGCACUUUGUCUUUGAACUUCUACACGUUCAUUCAAACAACAUUGAUGUGGGCACUGCCAAGGAAAGUCCAAGGGUCAAGGAAAUCCGAGUGAGAAUUGAAAACACUGUGGUUUGACUCCCCCCAGCGUCCUGCUCAAAUGUUCUCAUGCUUCCUUUGCAUGUUACA
This is a long non-coding RNA of Carassius auratus (goldfish), 841 nucleotides long. RefSeq lists it as uncharacterized. The transcript has 2 exons. NCBI's taxonomy places the organism in Eukaryota, Metazoa, Chordata, Actinopteri, Cypriniformes, Cyprinidae. The record is from RefSeq and is a predicted model, not a curated record.